RNAcentral lists this non-coding RNA (46 nucleotides) under Schistosoma mattheei. The record is from RNAcentral. Lineage: Eukaryota; Metazoa; Platyhelminthes; Trematoda; Strigeidida; Schistosomatidae.
GCACUGCAGAGGAGUCCCAUACUAGGACGAAACAACCGUCCAGUGC